This 222-nucleotide long non-coding RNA is filed under the name Dromaius novaehollandiae (emu). RNAcentral's name for it is "lncRNA (ENSDNVG00000006195.1)". The record is from RNAcentral. Lineage: Eukaryota; Metazoa; Chordata; Aves; Casuariiformes; Dromaiidae.
AGUCUUGCAACAUGAAGUGGGAAAAUUACAGUCCUGAAGGGCAGCAGAAUUUGAACCAAGGAAGGUGUUAGCUCUGUCCAAGGGAAGCAAGCAGCUGUUCUCCACAUCAGCCAAGGAUCACAGCCACAUCAAAAGUGUUGGAGAAGGAAAAAAACAAGGCAUGAUUUUUGCCCUUCACGAAAGACCUGUGGAAGUUUUCAGUCUACUUAUGGCAUAGGUGAG